RNAcentral lists this ribosomal RNA (715 nucleotides) under uncultured Staphylococcus sp. RNAcentral's name for it is "bacterial SSU rRNA". It matches the Rfam family "Bacterial small subunit ribosomal RNA", at positions 59 to 756 of the family's 1533-position model. Lineage: Bacteria; Bacillati; Bacillota; Bacilli; Caryophanales; Staphylococcaceae. The record is from RNAcentral.
AAGUCGAGCGAACGGACGAGAAGCUUGCUUCUCUGAUGUUAGCGACGGACGGGUGAGUAACACGUGGAUAACCUACCUAUAAGACUGGGAUAACUUCGGGAAACCGGAGCUAAUACCGGAUAAUAUUUUGAACCGCAUGGUUCAAAAGUGAAAGACGGUCUUGCUGUCACUUAUAGAUGGAUCCGCGCUGCAUUAGCUAGUUGGUAAGGUAACGGCUUACCAAGGCAACGAUGCAUAGCCGACCUGAGAGGGUGAUCGGCCACACUGGAACUGAGACACGGUCCAGACUCCUACGGGAGGCAGCAGUAGGGAAUCUUCCGCAAUGGGCGAAAGCCUGACGGAGCAACGCCGCGUGAGUGAUGAAGGUCUUCGGAUCGUAAAACUCUGUUAUUAGGGAAGAACAUAUGUGUAAGUAACUGUGCACAUCUUGACGGUACCUAAUCAGAAAGCCACGGCUAACUACGUGCCAGCAGCCGCGGUAAUACGUAGGUGGCAAGCGUUAUCCGGAAUUAUUGGGCGUAAAGCGCGCGUAGGCGGUUUUUUAAGUCUGAUGUGAAAGCCCACGGCUCAACCGUGGAGGGUCAUUGGAAACUGGAAAACUUGAGUGCAGAAGAGGAAAGUGGAAUUCCAUGUGUAGCGGUGAAAUGCGCAGAGAUAUGGAGGUACACCAGUGGCGAAGGCGACUUUCUGGUCUGUAACUGACGCUGAUGUGCGA